Molecule: unclassified non-coding RNA, 925 nt
Filed under: Hevea brasiliensis (rubber tree)
Lineage: Eukaryota; Viridiplantae; Streptophyta; Magnoliopsida; Malpighiales; Euphorbiaceae
Source: RNAcentral
GAGAAGUUCAGGGAUGUCAUAACCCAGCAUGUCAUCGACGGAUUGUAUCAACUUGGGCUUCAACUUCUCAAACUUAUCAAUGUUAUAACCACUCAGAACUUCCCUGAAGUGUUCGAUGUUAGGAAAAUCCCCAGCUGGUAGAUGGUGUUCCUUUUGAACCUUCAUAAAUUGAUCUUCCAAGUUAUCGAUAAGUUUUUGCUGGGUCUUGGCUUUGCCUAUCAUCGCAGGCAUCUCCUUUUUCAGGUGACUGAUAAUGUAAGAAUGUAUCUUGGCAGCUCUAGCACGUUUUACGAAUUCAUUUAUACGACGAUCACAAGCCUUCUUUGGUAUGUUUUUCAAGUCUGUAAGGAGAUCAUCUUGUUCCUUCUCAAAAAGUUCUUUUCCAAUUGGCCCUAUAGCAGCAUCAUUUAUUGGUUUGUCAUUAAAUGAUCCUAUGUAGACACGUGCAACUUCAGGGGUAUUUAGAACCUUCCCUAGAGACCACAUCAAUGCUCCAUAAACCCUCAUAAGUUGUUGAGUAUCAAUUUGGUCAGCUUUGUUCAGAACCACACGUAUCUUAUCAUCAUGGCCUCGAAGAGAAGCAAUGACACGUUUGAAUUCAUCACUUAUAUCAAGCUUGUGAGGAUCAAACAAUAGAAGGAUGAGAUCGCACUUGGCAGCAAACCAGGAAGUCACACCAGUAAAGUCAUAGCUCCUUUGUGUUCUCUGCUUUUCCCCAGAUAAAACUCCAGGCGUGUCCACCAGUGUAAAAUGCUCCAACAAAGGAUGCGCCAUUUGAGAACACUCAAACUUUGACAAAAACGCAGUUCCAAAAGUUGUCAGACCGCUAAAUGGCAUAUCUGCUUGAACAGCAAUUGUGUUUCCUGGAAUACUUCUUUCAUCAGGCCCAUUCAUGACAACUACAAAUCUGUCUGUUGUAGGCUCU